RNAcentral lists this ribosomal RNA (383 nucleotides) under uncultured eukaryote. RNAcentral describes it as "SSU rRNA". It matches the Rfam family "Eukaryotic small subunit ribosomal RNA", at positions 587 to 972 of the family's 1831-position model. The record is from RNAcentral.
AGCUCCAAUAGCGUAUAUAAACAUUGCUGCAGUUAAAAAGCUCGUAGUCGGAUGUGUGGUCUGUCGAGCACGGACUUCCCUUUGGGAUGUUUCGAUCGUUCGCGGGCCAUUCUUCUGGAGAUUGCUUCUUCUCUUGAUUGAGUGGUUGCGGGAUCCAGAUCGUUUACUGUGAGUAAAUGAGAGUGUUCAAAGCAGGCAGUAAUGCCUGAAUCUUUUAGCAUGGAAUAAUAAUAUAGAACUUCGGAUCUAUUUUGUUGGCUUUUAGAUGCAAAGUAAUGAUCGAAAGGGAUGGUUGGGGGUGCUCAUAUUCAGGGGGUAGCGGUGAAAUGCGAUGAUCCUCUGAAGAUGAACUAAUGCGAAAGCAUUCACCAAGGACAUUUUCU